Molecule: ribosomal RNA, 266 nt
Filed under: uncultured bacterium
Lineage: Bacteria
Description: partial 16S ribosomal RNA
Rfam family: Bacterial small subunit ribosomal RNA
Source: RNAcentral
GUCCACGCCCUAAACGAUGUCGACUAGCCGUUGGAGACCUCGGUCUUUGGUGGCGCAGCUAACGCGUGAAGUCGACCGCCUGGGGGAGUACGGUCGCAAGAUUAAAAACUCAAAAGGAAUUGACGGGGGCCCGCACAAGCGGUGGAUGAUGUGGAUUAAUUCGAUGCAACGCGAAAAACCUUACCUACCCUUGACAUGCCAGGAACCUCCCGGAGAUGGGAGGUGCCCGAAAGGGAACCUGGGCACAGGUGCUGCAUGGCUGUCGU